RNAcentral lists this ribosomal RNA (1147 nucleotides) under uncultured Prochlorococcus sp. Its description in RNAcentral is "bacterial SSU rRNA". It matches the Rfam family "Bacterial small subunit ribosomal RNA", at positions 122 to 1303 of the family's 1533-position model. The record is from RNAcentral. Lineage: Bacteria; Bacillati; Cyanobacteriota; Cyanophyceae; Synechococcales; Prochlorococcaceae.
GAAUCUGCCCUCAGGAGGGGGAUAACGGUUGGAAACGACCGCUAAUACCCCAUAUGCCUAUUGGUGAAAUGAAUUUCGCCUGAGGAUGAGCUCGCGUCUGAUUAGCUAGUUGGUGAGGUAAUGGCUCACCAAGGCUUCGAUCAGUAGCUGGUCUGAGAGGAUGAUCAGCCACACUGGGACUGAGACACGGCCCAGACUCCUACGGGAGGCAGCAGUGGAGAAUUUUCCGCAAUGGGCGAAAGCCUGACGGAGCAACGCCGCGUGAGGGACGAAGGCCUCUGGGCUGUAAACCUCUUUUCUCAAGGAAGAAGAUAUGACGGUACUUGAGGAAUAAGCCACGGCUAAUUCCGUGCCAGCAGCCGCGGUAAUACGGGAGUGGCAAGCGUUAUCCGGAAUUAUUGGGCGUAAAGCGUCCGCAGGCGGCUUUUCAAGUCUGCUGUUAAAACGUGGAGCUUAACUCCAUCAUGGCAGUGGAAACUGAAAGGCUUGAGUAUGGUAGGGGCAGAGGGAAUUCCCGGUGUAGCGGUGAAAUGCGUAGAUAUCGGGAAGAACACCAGUGGCGAAGGCGCUCUGCUGGGCCAUUACUGACGCUCAUGGACGAAAGCCAGGGGAGCGAAAGGGAUUAGAUACCCCUGUAGUCCUGGCCGUAAACGAUGAACACUAGGUGUCGGGGGAAUCGACCCCUUCGGUGUCGUAGCUAACGCGUUAAGUGUUCCGCCUGGGGAGUACGCACGCAAGUGUGAAACUCAAAGGAAUUGACGGGGGCCCGCACAAGCGGUGGAGUAUGUGGUUUAAUUCGAUGCAACGCGAAGAACCUUACCAGGGUUUGACAUCCUGCGAACCUCUUAGAAAUUUGAGGGUGCCUUCGGGAAUGCAGUGACAGGUGGUGCAUGGCUGUCGUCAGCUCGUGUCGUGAGAUGUUGGGUUAAGUCCCGCAACGAGCGCAACCCACGUUUUUAGUUGCCAGCAUUUAGUUGGGCACUCUAGAAAGACCGCCGGUGAUAAACCGGAGGAAGGUGUGGAUGACGUCAGGUCAUCAUGCCCCUUACACCCUGGGCUACACACGUACUACAAUGCUACGGACAAAGGGCAGCAAACUCGCGAGAGCUAGCAAAUCCCAUAAACCGUGGCUCAGUUCAGAUCGUAG